This 460-nucleotide ribosomal RNA is filed under the name uncultured bacterium. Its description in RNAcentral is "partial 16S ribosomal RNA". It matches the Rfam family "Bacterial small subunit ribosomal RNA", at positions 338 to 795 of the family's 1533-position model. The record is from RNAcentral.
CCUACGGGUGGCAGCAGUGAGGAAUAUUGGUCAAUGGACGAGAGUCUGAACCAGCCAAGUAGCGUGAAGGAUGACUGCCCUAUGGGUUGUAAACUUCUUUUAUAUGGGAAUAAAAUGUUCCACGUGUGGGAUUUUGUAUGUAACAUAUGAAUACGGAUCGGCUAACUCCGUGCCAGCAGCCGCGCUAAUACGGAGGAUCCGAGCGGUAUCCGGAUUUAUUGGGUUUAAAGGGAGCGUAGGUGGAUUGUUAAGUCAGUUGUGAAAGUUUGGGGUUCAACCGUAAAAUUGCAGUUGAAACUGGCAGUCUUGAGUACAGUAGAGGUGAGCGGAAUUCGUGGUGUAGCGGUGAAAUGCUUAGAUAUCACGAAGAACUCCAAUGGCGAAGGCAGUUCACUGGACUGCAACUGACACUGAGGCUCGAAAGUGUGGGUAUCAAACAGGAUUAGAUACCCGGGUAGUC